CCUAAUUUGAGUUGCAUUAAACUAUCCAAUCCAAUGUUCAUGGAUCAGCGAUCACGAUCUCACGCUCCGGAAAAGGAAACCCUAUUUUCUCUGGCCUCCACUAUGUCUAUAUAAUGUCCACGGCCGAAUACGAAUUCGUCUAUGCCUUUCAUUCUAAUUCUAUCUUAUAGGUUUAUCAUCUGACAUGGAAUGUUGCAGUUGAGCCUGAUGAUUGUCACUAAGAACGGAGAUUCGAAGUUUGCUUAGGUUGAAGCCUGGCCAGUGCUGGGCUCUCUAAGCAUCUCAUGUGAUAAAUCCUUUCUACUUCUAUUAAUGAAGGCUUCUUACUGUAAUCUAUUCCUCUCAUUUUCGGUUAUUAUUACUG
Molecule: non-coding RNA, 364 nt
Organism: Lupinus albus (white lupine)
Lineage: Eukaryota; Viridiplantae; Streptophyta; Magnoliopsida; Fabales; Fabaceae
Source: the annotation of a GenBank genome assembly